UACGUAGGUGGCGAGCGUUGUCCGGAAUUACUGGGUGUAAAGCGCGUGUAGGCGGCAGGCCAAGUCGGUGGUGAAAGCGCCCGGCUCAACUGGGCGAGGUCCAUGGAAACUGGUCAGCUGGAGGACGGUAGAGGCGAGUGGAAUUCCCGGUGUAGUGGUGAAAUGCGUAGAGAUCGGGAGGAACACCUGUGGCGAAGGCGGCUCGCUGGGCCGGUACUGACGCUGAAACGCGAAGGCGUGGGGAGCGAACGGG
This 253-nucleotide ribosomal RNA is filed under the name uncultured bacterium. RNAcentral describes it as "partial 16S ribosomal RNA". It matches the Rfam family "Bacterial small subunit ribosomal RNA", at positions 524 to 776 of the family's 1533-position model. The record is from RNAcentral.